UACGUAGGGUGCGAGCGUUGUCCGGAAUUAUUGGGCGUAAAGAGCUCGUAGGCGGUCUGUCGCGUCGAUCGUGAAAACUUGGGGCUUAACCCUGAGCUUGCGGUCGAUACGGGCAUGACUGGAGUUCGGCAGGGGAGACUGGAAUUCCUGGUGUAGCGGUGAAAUGCGUAGAUAUCAAGAGGAACACCUGCGGCGAAGGCGGGUUGCUGGGCCGACACUGACGCUGAUGCGCGAAAGCUAGGGGAGCGAACGGG
RNAcentral lists this ribosomal RNA (254 nucleotides) under uncultured bacterium. RNAcentral's name for it is "partial 16S ribosomal RNA". It matches the Rfam family "Bacterial small subunit ribosomal RNA", at positions 524 to 776 of the family's 1533-position model. The record is from RNAcentral.